RNAcentral lists this transfer RNA (61 nucleotides) under Cavia porcellus (domestic guinea pig). It matches the Rfam family "tRNA". From Rfam's summary of the family: Transfer RNA (tRNA) molecules are approximately 80 nucleotides in length. Their secondary structure includes four short double-helical elements and three loops (D, anti-codon, and T loops). Lineage: Eukaryota; Metazoa; Chordata; Mammalia; Rodentia; Caviidae. The record is from Rfam by way of RNAcentral.
AGGGAUUUAGCUUAGUGGCGUAAGCACCUGCCUGGCAUGGAGGUUGUGAUUUCAAUCCCUG